RNAcentral lists this ribosomal RNA (237 nucleotides) under uncultured bacterium. RNAcentral's name for it is "partial 16S ribosomal RNA". It matches the Rfam family "Bacterial small subunit ribosomal RNA", at positions 251 to 504 of the family's 1533-position model. The record is from RNAcentral.
GGCGGGGCGAAGGCCCGCCGUGCCGACGACGGGUAGCCGGGCUGAGAGGCCGAUCGGCCACAUUGGGACUGAGACACGGCCCAGACUCCUACGGGAGGCAGCAGUGGGGAAUAUUGCGCAAUGGGGGGAACCCUGACGCAGCGACGCCGCGUGCGGGAAGGAGGCCUUCGGGUCGUAAACCGCUUUCAGCAGGGAAGAAGCCUGACGGUACCUGCAGAAGAAGCCCCGGCUAACUAC